UGUCUUGAUGAAUAUCACAAGACCCCAUCAACAUCCCCUCGCACAUCUCUCCAUCCCAUCCAUGAAAUUAUUCAAUUGAGUACAUAUCUUUGUCUCUGCAAAAAGAAAAUUGAGCAAUCCAUCACAUACACAACCAAGCUAAUUCCUACACAUCCACUACUUUUUCUCACAUUCUUUCCGUCCAUGAUGGCCCCAGAUAAUCUUCAGGCAAAACAGGCCCCCAUAGAUGACAACCAAAUCACUACUAGUAACCGAAAAACAACGACGACGAGACCACAAGAGGAAGCUUUGAAGUGUCCAAGAUGUGACUCACCCAAUACAAAAUUCUGCUACUAUAACAAUUACAGUUUAACACAGCCUAGGCAUUUUUGCAAGACAUGUAGAAGGUACUGGACCAAAGGAGGAGCCUUGCGCAACGUUCCCUUCGGCGGUGGCUGUAGAAAAAACAAGAAGAUAAAAUCAUCUUCAAGGCUCUCAAGUGACUCCAGUGGCUCCUCAGAGAUCGGUGGAUUCAACUUCUUUCAUGGACUCUCCCCGGCCACGAAAUUUAAUCUCGGUGGGCUAUCAUUACCUAGGCUAAACCUUUCACCAAAUGGCAUAUAUAACCAUUUCCCUUCAUCUGGGGAAAUUUCAGCAACUUCUGAAGCUGCAGUUAGUAUUACUAGUCCUCGUUUCAGACUUGAUCCAUCUGUUAGUUCCACUGCUGGUUAUGGUUCCUUAAUGGGGCUUAGUUAUCCACUUACUUCGGUUAGUAGUGGAUUUUGUGGAGCAAUUCAAGAGAAUAUCGGUGGCGCAUCAAUGAAUGUCAACACUAAUCUCGCGUCUUCAAUUGAAUCUCUGAGUUGUAUAAACCAAGAUUUACACUGGAAGUUGCAGCAACAGAGAUUGGCUAUGCUAUUUGGUACAGGAAAAAAUCAUAGAGAUGACAGUACUGUUUCUACAGCCCCUAUUGAGAACCAUGUCCAGAAACUACAACCUAUUAUGUUUGAAAAUCUUGAAAUUUCAAAACCACAAGUAUGUGCUGCUGGUAAUUCAAGAAAAGAUGGUGCAACUAGUGGUGAUCCAGCAACUGAGUGGUUCUUUGGGAAUUCAUAUGAUCAAUUGACUGCCACGCCAACAAAUAGGAGCAACAAUGGCAAUAAUGACAACACAGGCAAUUGGAAUGGCGUUCAAGCAUGGGGUGAUUUGCAUCAGUAUAGUGCUUUGCCCUAGACAAGAAAGCAUCAAGAGGUAGAACAUAGUGAAAGAAAUAGGAAAAAUGAGAAUACUAUCUAAAUCCUAAUUUGGAGGUUUUUUUAUCAACUUGUUCUUGGUUUGUUGGGUACUGAUCAACUUGUAAAAGUUGGGAAAAAAAUAGACUAUUUAUCUCUUUCUUGUGAUUUUCUUUUUGUUCUUUUGUAUUGUUAAUAUAAUUUAGGGCUUGCUGUUUCUACAAAUGGUGCUGAUAAUAUUUCUCUUUGUUAUUAGAUGUAUGUAUCCCUUUUGCAUAUUUACCAUAAAGAUGCAGGACUACUGUUGUUAAUGCUAGAAAUAAAAGGAUGGUUUCAGACCAAAAAGAAAGCGGUGGAUGUUCAGCGUUCUUUCUCACACGAAUAGAUAUAUAUAUAUGAACCAGAAUGGAUGGCAUUUAAUUUUACACUGCAUGAUCGUAUGAAUAUAUCGGAGGUGCUAGCUUGGUAUCCAUCGAGCUACAUAAUGCCCAUGGUAGCCUUAUGGUCAUGGUAAACAGGAGAUCUGAGUGUCAGGCACCUCAGCUAAUGAGCAAACGACGACAGCACCACAGUGUCAGUAGCUGGGCAAGUAAAGUCUUCCCUGCGUGGGUCCUCGCUUAUAUAGCCAGCUGCUUUGCUUUAUCUUCCCUCUCACUUUCUCUGUCCUUCUCUCUGAGGGUACAGGGCUCGGCAUAAUAAUGAAAGAGUAUCAGCAAAUGAAGAGAGAUGGCACCUCCAGCUGGUGUGGUGUUCGUUUCUUUUGCAUACAAAAAUGUUUUGCGUAGCUUUUUAAUACUGUCUUGGGGA
This is an RNA transcript of Populus euphratica (Euphrates poplar), 2018 nucleotides long. It is a transcript of the gene named dof zinc finger protein DOF5.7-like, with no coding region annotated. The transcript is spliced from 2 exons. The record is from RefSeq and is a predicted model, not a curated record. Lineage: Eukaryota; Viridiplantae; Streptophyta; Magnoliopsida; Malpighiales; Salicaceae.